GCGGGCCGUACCACCAGCGCGGACGCGUCGUGGAAGGCUACCAAGGCCGCUGGUGGGGCGGCCGGAGGCGCCCCGCCUCUCCCGCCUCUACAGUGAGCCGGCCCCGAACACACCCCUCACGCCCCAGGUCGAUUCCUCCCGAACAGUGAUGAGCAAGGAAGGGGUCGCCCUAGUCGACUGCACACGCGCUGGGGUCCUGGGGCCGCCUGAGGGGCGCUGCCCGGCAACUCCUCUGUGCCCACCGCCCCGGCCCGCGGACAGGACCAGGCAGAGCCCCCAUGUGACCCCGAAGCCCAGCCCCCCGGAAGGCCCGCUCGGCCGCGCAGCCCUGACUCAGCCCUGCGGCCCCGCCGGGUCCACGCUCAGAGGCCGGCCCGAGGCCACGGCGCCCGGGAGGCAGGGUCAAGUGCAGUUUCUCUUCCCUACUCCGUGCGGCCGUGGGCAGGGGACCCGGCUCCCCUCCACCCAGUUCCGCCCAGGCCGGCCCCGCGCUCGGAACCGCAUCUAGGCCCCGGGGCUGUCACGGCGCCGGCUGGGCAUGCGGCCCGAGGGUCGCUGGUUGUGACGGGGCAGCAGCUGGCAUUGCUCAGCAGGCGGCGCCUGUGGUCGGCGGAGUGCGUCCCGCAGGGUGUGGGAUGGGCGUGUGAACCGCCAUCCGGCGUCCUCCCCGCCCGUGGCCUCCCGCCCUCGAGGCCCGCAGAAGAUGCAACCGAGGGGCCCAGAACCUGGCGCAGCCUCUCCGGCUUGAAAUCGGACCGCCCUGGGCUCCAGCCCCGCCAGCUGGGAGAGGUUGAGAGAACCUGCUUAACCUGGAGCCCGGCCUCGGGUGUGAAGGUGGACGCCCGCCUGGCCGGGGGCGCCCCGAAGCUCACGUGUCCCCACGGUCUCACCCCGCAGCCUUUCUUACUUUAGGGUAUAACUGGUGAUACAUAACCCAGCAGAACUGAGAAGACUUUGAAUGAAAUGCACCCUGAUUCCUGCUCACAACCUGUCAUCCCCAAUGAGGCACCCAUGUUUCCAGCCUGGCCACUGGCCUCCCGAGGUCCAUCUCCUCCCGGCUCCAUCCCUCUCCCUGCCCGACAGCAAGGUCACUGUGUGUGUGACAUCAAGCUAAGCCCUUUCUGUAAAUGGUCCAGUCCCACCUCAGCUGCACGGCACGCUCUUGGACGCUCUUACCCGUGUGUCUUAGAUGAGGAAACUGAGGUUUACGUCGGUGAGGCUGUGACUCGUCCUGCUUCCUACAGCAGCUCAGGAUGAGGCUGAGUUUUGGGGUUUUACGCCGUGAGGACUUGGAGAAGAGGACUAAAAACUCACCUUUUAGAGGAGGUGGCCAGGACGGCAUCUCUUUUUUUUGAUCGUAUAAGUAAUACAUGCUCAUUGUUUGUUUAAUCAAGAAAAAACAGGCUUUUAAAAGACA
This is a long non-coding RNA of Balaenoptera ricei (Rice's whale), 1417 nucleotides long. RefSeq lists it as uncharacterized. The record is from RefSeq and is a predicted model, not a curated record. The transcript is spliced from 2 exons. Lineage: Eukaryota; Metazoa; Chordata; Mammalia; Artiodactyla; Balaenopteridae.